Unclassified non-coding RNA from Papio anubis (olive baboon), 306 nucleotides. It matches the Rfam family "Metazoan signal recognition particle RNA". Rfam says of the family: The signal recognition particle (SRP) is a universally conserved ribonucleoprotein. It is involved in the co-translational targeting of proteins to membranes. The record is from Ensembl. Lineage: Eukaryota; Metazoa; Chordata; Mammalia; Primates; Cercopithecidae.
GUCAGGCAUGCUAGUCUGUGCCUAUAGACCCAGCUACUCAGGAGGCUGAGGCAGGAGGAUCACUUGAGUCCAGUAGUUCUGGGCUAUAGUGCUCUAUGCUGAUUGGGUCUCCACAAUAAAUUCUGAAUCAACAUAGUGACCUCCCACCUCCCAGGAGUCGGGGACCAUAGGUUGCCUAAGAAGGGUUGAACUGGCCCAGGUCAGAAAUGGGGCAGGUCAAAACUCCAGUACUGAUCAGUAGUGGGAUUGUAUUUGUGAGUAGCCAUUGCACUCCAGCCUGAGCAACAUAGUGAGACCUCAUUUCUA